Molecule: RNA transcript, 1385 nt
Organism: Limulus polyphemus (Atlantic horseshoe crab)
Lineage: Eukaryota; Metazoa; Arthropoda; Merostomata; Xiphosura; Limulidae
Gene name: alpha-L-iduronidase-like
Exons: 6
Source: RefSeq, a predicted model, not a curated record
UACACUAAUACAAUAGGUUGUAUACUGUAAUACACCAAUACAGUAGGUUAUAUACUGUAAUACACUAAUACAGUAGGUUAUAUACUGUAAUACAUUAGGUUGUAUACUGGAAUACAUUAGGUUGUAUACUGUAAUACACUAAUACAAGUGGAUGUAUACUGGAAUACAUAAAUAUGUUUUGAUAUUAUAGUGAAGCAGAUCCUUUGGUUGGAUGGUCAAAACCAUUGCUGUGGCGAGCAGAUGCAACAUAUGGAGCUCUUGUUGCAAAGGUAAUAGGACAACAUAUCCAAACGUUUUUUGAAAAACAAAAAAUGCCCUUGUGUUCCAUGUGCCAUUAUAAACUCCUAAGUAAUGACAACGCCUUUCUCAGUUUUUUCCCUCAUCAAUUCGAACAACGGACCUUGUUGGCUAGGUUCCAGAUGAAUAACACUGUACCCCCACAUGUUCAAUUCUUCAAAAAACCUGUGUAUGCUGUGACUGGCAUACUGGGGAAGUUAGGGGAAACAUUGUUGAAUUACAAACUAUCAUUUCAAGAGUACUUUCACUGGAUGUUUUCUGCCCAGAUGGACCACACUUGGCAUAAUCUGCGAUAUCCUUAGGAGCUUCCCCUGGAUGUUUUCUGCCUGGGUGAACUGCCCUUUUUUGUGUUACUGUGUUCCUUACUGGGCGAAGAACAUAUCUGUUCCAGAAGCCACAGUGUUUACGAGAUCAAGUUGUAAGAAUGAUAAGAAAUAAUCCAAGCCACCUUGCUGCUGAUACAUGUAGUGAUACAUGUUCUGGAUGUAGUGUGGCUCCCGCACUUUUGUACCAUCUUUAUCUUGGUACACUUCUGCUAUAUACAGAUGCUUUCUGUCAUGACUGAUGCCUGCACCAGGUGUUCCACUAAAGCAUGAUCUUGGCAUAAUUCCAACCAUGCAUGAACCAGAUAAAGCAAGUAUUGCUGACAGUCUGCAGUUUAUUCUUUUACUGUACAACAGUGCAGACACUACAAACAUGACAGGAAUGUCUUCUAUCAACAUUUACAUGCAAUAUCGCUUGCCAGAAACAGGUGGGAACAAUGAUGUUUGAAGUACAAGGUCUAUGUAGUAACAGUAAAUUAUAAAAAAAACAUGUGGCAACAAUGAUGUUUCAAGUACAAGGUAUAUGUAGUAACAGUAAAUUAUAAAAAAAACAGUUGGGAAGAAUGGGGUUUCAAGUACAAGGUAUAUGUAGUAACAGUAAUAUAUAAAAAACAGUUGGGAACAAUGAUGUUUCAAGUACAAGGUCUAUUUAGUAACAGUAAAUUGUAAAUAAACCGUGAAUUAUAAAAAAACACGUUCGAACAAUGAUGUUUCAAGUACAAGGUAAAUGUUGUAACAGUAAAAUGAAAAAUCAAUCUGUUCUCU